Long non-coding RNA from Sinocyclocheilus anshuiensis, 486 nucleotides. RefSeq lists it as uncharacterized. The transcript has 3 exons. Lineage: Eukaryota; Metazoa; Chordata; Actinopteri; Cypriniformes; Cyprinidae. The record is from RefSeq and is a predicted model, not a curated record.
UUCGGAGUAAUUUUAAUUUCACCUCUUCAAAUACUGAUAACUGCUAAUGAUAAGAUAUUGGUUUACAUUUUUAGAUAAAGCGUUUUUCAGGGAAAACAGGCACCCAACACAGAGACUACAGUGGCACAAAAAAAGGGGAAUAGAACUUUUCACCAUCAUCAGUCCUUUAUUUCAUUCACUGGAGAACAUCACAACCUUCAGAUGUGUCAUAUCAGGAUAAAUGCUGCUGCAGGGAAAAUUAUAUGAAGGACCCACCCCACUCCAGAUUCACCAAGGAUCCAGCUGAAGCCCCGUUCACACUACAAGCGACACGCAACGUCAAAGCAACACGAUCCCAUUCAUUUGAAUGGAGAGCUGGUGAUUUCUGGUGACAAGAGCGACAGAGGCCGUUGGCGACCGGAUGGGGUGUGUCCAGCGACACGACAAAGUUCAGAAUCCUUCAACUUUAUGCAAAUGAAGAGCGACUUUCGGGAGCGACAGCCAAUA